GUCCCGCCUGCCCAGUGUUCAGACUACCUGUUCAGGAAUUAGUGUUUGUACAGUAGUCUGCACAUUGGUUAGGCUGG
This 77-nucleotide microRNA precursor is filed under the name Danio rerio (zebrafish). RNAcentral describes it as "mir-199 microRNA precursor family". It matches the Rfam family "mir-199 microRNA precursor family". Rfam says of the family: This family consists of the microRNA (miRNA) precursor mir-199 which appears to be specific to humans. Lineage: Eukaryota; Metazoa; Chordata; Actinopteri; Cypriniformes; Danionidae. The record is from Rfam by way of RNAcentral.